Molecule: non-coding RNA, 86 nt
Organism: Guyanagaster necrorhizus
Lineage: Eukaryota; Fungi; Basidiomycota; Agaricomycetes; Agaricales; Physalacriaceae
Source: the annotation of a RefSeq genome assembly
GGCCUGAUGGUCUAGUAGUAUGAUUCCUUGUUAGGGCUAUAUAGUGAUUAUCGAGGAGGUCCCGGGUUCAAUUCCCGGUCAGGCCC